CCCGCACAAGCGGUGGAUGAUGUGGUUUAAUCGAUGCAACGCGAAAACCUUACCACCUUUGACAUGGCAGGAAUCCUGAAGAGAUUUGGGAGUGCUCGAAAGAGGACCUGCACACAGGUGCUGCAUGGCUGUCGUCAGCUCGUGUCGCGAGAUGUUGGGUUAAGUCCCGCAACCGAGCGCAACCCUUGCCAUUAGUUGCUACGGAAAGGGCACUCUAAUGGGACUGCCGGUGACAAACCGGAGGAAGGUGGGGAUGACGUCAAGUCCUCAUGGCCCUUAUAGGUGGGGCUACACACGUCAUACAAUGGCCGGUACAGAGGGUAGCCAACCCGCGAGGGGGAGCCAAUCCCACAAAGCCGGUCGUAGUCCGGAUCGCAGUCUGCAACUCGACUGCGUGAAGUCGGAAUCGCUAGUAAUCGCGGAUCAGCAUGUCGCGGUGAAUACGUUCCCGGGUCUU
RNAcentral lists this ribosomal RNA (457 nucleotides) under uncultured Allobrachymonas sp. RNAcentral describes it as "bacterial SSU rRNA". It matches the Rfam family "Bacterial small subunit ribosomal RNA", at positions 920 to 1382 of the family's 1533-position model. The record is from RNAcentral. Lineage: Bacteria; Pseudomonadati; Pseudomonadota; Betaproteobacteria; Burkholderiales; Comamonadaceae.